This 253-nucleotide ribosomal RNA is filed under the name uncultured bacterium. RNAcentral's name for it is "partial 16S ribosomal RNA". It matches the Rfam family "Bacterial small subunit ribosomal RNA", at positions 524 to 776 of the family's 1533-position model. The record is from RNAcentral.
UACGGGGGGGGCAAGCGUUGUUCGGAAUUACUGGGCGUAAAGCGUGCGCAGGCGGUGAUGUAAGUCAGAUGUGAAAUCCCCGGGCUCAACCUGGGAACUGCAUUUGUGACUGCAUCGCUGGAGUACGGCAGAGGGGGAUGGAAUUCCGCGUGUAGCAGUGAAAUGCGUAGAUAUGCGGAGGAACACCGAUGGCGAAGGCAAUCCCCUGGGCCUGUACUGACGCUCAUGCACGAAAGCGUGGGGAGCAAACAGG